UACGUAGGGACCAAGCGUUGUUCGGAUUUACUGGGCGUAAAGGGCGCGUAGGCGGCGUGGUAAGUCAGUUGUGAAAUCUCCGAGCUUAACUCGGAACGGUCAACUGAUACUGCUGUGCUAGAGUGCAGAAGGGGCAAUCGGAAUUCUUGGUGUAGCGGUGAAAUGCGUAGAUAUCAAGAGGAACACCUGAAGUGAAGACGGGUUGCUGGGCUGACACUGACGCUGAGGCGCGAAAGCUAGGGUAGCAAACGGG
This 253-nucleotide ribosomal RNA is filed under the name uncultured bacterium. RNAcentral describes it as "partial 16S ribosomal RNA". It matches the Rfam family "Bacterial small subunit ribosomal RNA", at positions 524 to 776 of the family's 1533-position model. The record is from RNAcentral.